RNAcentral lists this ribosomal RNA (1465 nucleotides) under uncultured Bordetella sp. RNAcentral's name for it is "partial 16S-23S ribosomal RNA intergenic spacer". It matches the Rfam family "Bacterial small subunit ribosomal RNA". Lineage: Bacteria; Pseudomonadati; Pseudomonadota; Betaproteobacteria; Burkholderiales; Alcaligenaceae. The record is from RNAcentral.
GGUUUGAUUAUGGCUCAGAUUGAACGCUGGCGGGAUGCUUUACACAUGCAAGUCGAACGGCAGCACGGACUUCGGUCUGGUGGCGAGUGGCGAACGGGUGAGUAAUGUAUCGGAACGUGCCUAGUAGCGGGGGAUAACUACGCGAAAGGUAGCUAAUACCGCACAUUGCCCUUCGGGGAAAGCGGGGGACCUUCGGGCCUCGCACUAUUAGAGCGGCCGAUAUCGGAUUAGCCAGUUGGUGGUAACGGCUCACCAAGGCGACGAUCCGUAGCUGGUUUGAGAGGACGACCAGCCACACUCGGGACCGGAGACACGGCCCAGACUCCUACGGGAGGCAGCAGUGGGGAAUUUUGACAAUGGGGAAACCCUGAUCCAGCCAUCCCAAGCGUGUGCGAUGAAGGCCUUCGGUUGUAAAGCACUUUUGGCAGGGGGAAGAAACGGCACGGGAUAAUACCCCGUGCAACCGACGGUACCUGCAGAACAAGCACCGGCUAACUACGCCAGCAGCCGCGGUAAUACGUAGGGGUGCAAGCGUUAAUCGGAAUUACUGGGCGUAAAGCGUGCGCAGGCGGUUCGAAAAAGAAAGAUGUGAAAUCCCAGAGCUUAACUUUGGAACUGCAUUUCUUUAACUACCGAGCUAGAGUGUGUCAGAGGAGGUGGAAUUCGCGUGUAGCAGCGGGAAUGCGUAGAUAUGCGGAGGAACACCGAUGGCGAAGGCAGCCUCCCUGGGAUAACACUGACGCUCAUGCACGAAAGCGUGGGGAGCAAACAGGAUUAGAUACCCCGGUAGUCCACGCCCUAAACGAUGUCAACUAGCUGCUGGGGCCUUCGGGCCUGGUAGCGCAGCUAACGCGGUGAAGUUGACCGCCUGGGGAGUACGGUCGCAAGAUUAAAACUCAAAGGAAUUGACGGGGACCGCACAAGCGGUGGAUGAUGCGGAUUAACUGAUGCAACGCGAAAAACCUUACCUACCCUUGACAUGUCUGGAAUCCCGAAGAGAUUUGUGAGUGCCGCAAGAGAACCGAACACAGCGUUUGGUGGCUGCCGGCCAGCUGGGCGGAGAUAAGAAGUAAGCCCAAUGAGUGCAACCCUGUCAUUAGUUACUACGAAAGGGCACUCUAUCGAGACUGCCGGUGACAAACCGGCGCAGGGAUGACGUCAAGUCCUCAUGGCCCCCAGGUAGGGCUUCACACGUCAUACAAUGGUCGGGACAGAGGUCGCUAACCCGGCGAGGGGAGCUAUCCCAGAAACCCGAUCGUAGUCCGGAUCGCAGUCUGCAACUCGACUGCGUGAAGUCGGAAUCGCUAGUAAUCGCGGAUCAGCAUGUCAUGUGAAUACGUUCCCGGGUCUUGUACACACCGCCCGUCACACCAUGGGAGUGGGUUUACCAGAAGUAGUUAGCCUAACCGUAAGGAGGGCGAUUACCACGGUAGGAUUCAUGACCGGGGUGAAGUCGUAACAAGGU